GUCGGUUCUACCCGAAGUGGUUGAGCUAACCCGCAGGGGGGCAGACUCCUAAGGUAGGGCUGGUGAUUGGGGUGAAGUCGUAACAAGGUAGCCGUAGGUGAACCUGCAGAAGGAUCA
RNAcentral lists this ribosomal RNA (117 nucleotides) under uncultured eukaryote. RNAcentral describes it as "partial small subunit ribosomal RNA". It matches the Rfam family "Bacterial small subunit ribosomal RNA", at positions 1410 to 1525 of the family's 1533-position model. The record is from RNAcentral.